GGAUUAGAUACCCUGGUAGUCCACGCCGUAAACGAUGGGUACUAGGCGUCGGGGGGAGCGACCCCUUCGGUGCCGCCGCUAACGCAGUAAGUACCCCGCCUGGGGAGUACGGCCGCAAGGCUGAAACUCAAAGGAAUUGACGGGGGCCCGCACAAGCGGUGGAGCAUGUGGUUUAAUUCGAUGCAACGCGAAGAACCUUACCUGGGCUUGACAUGUACGUGAAACUCCGUGGAAACACGGAGCCCUCUUCGGAGCACGUACACAGGUGCUGCAUGGCUGUCGUCAGCUCGUGCCG
RNAcentral lists this ribosomal RNA (295 nucleotides) under uncultured bacterium. Its description in RNAcentral is "partial 16S ribosomal RNA". It matches the Rfam family "Bacterial small subunit ribosomal RNA", at positions 775 to 1067 of the family's 1533-position model. The record is from RNAcentral.